GUAACAAGGUUUCCGUAGGUGAACCUGCGGAAGGAUCAUUAAUGAGAUCAUGCCCUUCGGGGUAGACCUCCCACCCUUUGUUUACAAUACCAUUGUUGCUUUGGCGGCCCCGUCGCAAGACAACCGGCUCCGGCUGGUCAGUGGCCGCCAGAGGACUCCAAAACUCAUAUUGUCAUUGUCGUCUGAGUACUAUACAAUAGUUAAAACUUUCAACAACGGAUCUCUUGGUUCUGGCAUCGAUGAAGAACGCAGCGAAAUGCGAUAAGUAAUGUGAAUUGCAGAAUUCAGUGAAUCAUCGAAUCUUUGAACGCACAUUGCGCCCCCUGGUAUUCCGGGGGGCAUGCCUGUUCGAGCGUCAUUACAACCCUCAAGCUCUGCUUGGUAUUGGGCGCCACCCCCGGGUGCGCCUUAAAAUCAGUGGCGGUGCCGUCUGGCUUCAAGCGUAGUAAUACUUCUCGCUUUGGAGUCCGGGCGAGCGUCCUGCCAAAACCCCCAUAUUUUUUCAGGUUGACCUCGGAUCAGGUAGGGAUACCCGCUGAACUUAAGCAUAUCAA
RNAcentral lists this ribosomal RNA (554 nucleotides) under Phacidiopycnis washingtonensis. RNAcentral describes it as "eukaryotic LSU rRNA". The stretch from base 205 to 358 matches the Rfam family "5.8S ribosomal RNA". Lineage: Eukaryota; Fungi; Ascomycota; Leotiomycetes; Phacidiales; Phacidiaceae. The record is from RNAcentral.